CCCACAAAAGGUUUGUCCAAGAACCCCAUAGGAGGUGGGGUUCAUCGAGGAACCUCCUUAGGUUGUGGGGGUUCUUGCAGGAACUGAAACUGAAACAUUUGGAUUUGAAUUUGAAAGGACAGCAGGUGCAACUUAAAAAUGUUAAGAUCUCCUUAAUUUAAGGUUUGUCCCUUGUAUGAUCUAAAUUGAUAUUGUUUUAUAAUGAUACCAUCUAUCUUUUCAUAUCUUUCUAAAACAGAAAAUGAACACAAUUCAAUGGAUAUCAAUCAACAAAGAGGUAUACAGAUGAGGAGGCAUACAAAGGUAUGUCAAUAGAUAUUGGUAUGUUAUGCAGAUCAUCCUCCUCCCUUACUUCUUCAAUGAAAAUAUCAUAGGCCUCUACGUUAUGGACAAGACUUCACCCUCCCUACACCUCUGAUGAAUAUAACAGGGAACCUGUUCGAUCACCAUGCACUGCAAAAUCAUUCGGUCUCUGGAUACGGAGAACAUCAACAUCAACAGGACAAAGGAUAUACACAUUGGACUUGGGGCUCUGCUGGGAGUUUGCCUCAUAUUUAAAAAACAUGUAUUCUGCUUUGCCACUAAAAUCAUAAUAAACACUGACAACUAAAAUAUUGUGUUAUUGUUAUGCGCAUUAUAAUUAUUAUUAAUAAAAUUUGGGAGGGGGGUAGUUCAAAAAUGAACCCCAAAAGGUUCUUCAAAAGGUUAUUUGAGGAUCCAUUAAAAGGGGUUCUUUGAAGAACUUAAGGGGUUCCCACUCGGUUUCAAUUUGAAGAACCCCUAAAGGAUACUCCAGAAACCUUUUAUUUUUAGAGUGUGGUUAUACUGUAAGCCUAUCAAAGAUGGUGGAUGAAUGAAGAUGUCUUACUCAGGCAGUUUACCAUUGGAGAAAAUGGUCAAGUUUCCUGUCUGUGUAAGUAGGCGUUCCCAUGUGAGACCAAUGGCUCUGGUCUACUUAUUGUCUCUACCCGUUCUCCCCACCCGCAGGGGGAAAUAAGUAGACCAGAGUGGCGCCGCCCCCAGAGUGGGGUGUCUUGCUUUCUCUACCGCCUCCGGGUCUAUACUGAAUUAGUUACCCCUACCUAUUAGUGCUUUGUUUCCAUCCCACAUCAUUUCUUUUUAAAGAAAAUACAUAGGCCAGUACCUAAAUUAUUUUUACAACACCACACACACAAUGGUUUUGACUUGUAGAUAUGACUGAAUGAUUUUGUCCCGUUGUUUCUUAUUGUGUUGCUGUACGCCUAUG
This is a long non-coding RNA of Salvelinus fontinalis (brook trout), 1246 nucleotides long. RefSeq lists it as uncharacterized. The transcript has 3 exons. The record is from RefSeq and is a predicted model, not a curated record. NCBI's taxonomy places the organism in Eukaryota, Metazoa, Chordata, Actinopteri, Salmoniformes, Salmonidae.